CAAUACAGUUGAUGGCGACCGGCAAACGGGUGCGGAACACGUACAGAACCUUCCUUCGAGCGGGGAAUAGCCCAGAGAAAUUUGGAUUAAUACCCCAUAGCAUAACGGAGUGGCAUCACUCUGUUAUUAAAGAUUUAUCACUUGAAGAUGGCUGUGCGGCUGAUUAGGUAGUUGGCGGGGUAACGGCCCACCAAGCCUGCGAUCAGUAACUGGUGUGAGAGCACGGCCAGUCACACGGGCACUGAGACACGGGCCCGACUCCUACGGGAGGCAGCAGUAAGAAAUAUUGGUCAAUGGACGAAAGUCUGAACCAGCCAUGCCGCGUGGAGGAUGAAGGUCCUCUGGAUUGUAAACUUCUUUUAUAUGGGACGAAAAAAGGCUUUUCUAAGUCGUCUGACGGUACCAUAUGAAUAAGCACCGGCUAACUCCGUGCCAGCAGCCGCGGUAAUACGGAGGGUGCAAGCGUUAUCCGGAUUCACUGGGUUUAAAGGGUGCGUAGGUGGGUUGAUAAGUCAGUGGUGAAAUCUCCGAGCUUAACUUGGAAACUGCCAUUGAUACUAUCAGUCUUGAAUAUUGUGGAGGUUAGCGGAAUAUGUCAUGUAGCGGUGAAAUGCUUAGAUAUGACAUAGAACACCAAUUGCGAAGGCAGCUGGCUACACAUAUAUUGACACUGAGGCACGAAAGCGUGGGGUUCAAACAGGAUUAGAUACCCUGGUAGUCCACGCCCUAAACUAUGGAUACUCG
This 744-nucleotide ribosomal RNA is filed under the name uncultured bacterium. RNAcentral's name for it is "bacterial SSU rRNA". It matches the Rfam family "Bacterial small subunit ribosomal RNA", at positions 77 to 819 of the family's 1533-position model. The record is from RNAcentral.